Molecule: long non-coding RNA, 2787 nt
Organism: Tupaia belangeri chinensis (Chinese tree shrew)
Lineage: Eukaryota; Metazoa; Chordata; Mammalia; Scandentia; Tupaiidae
Exons: 2
Source: RefSeq, a predicted model, not a curated record
UAUAGCUACAGCCAGUGCUCAUCUGCCGGCAGCGGAGACCAAGACUGAAUCUCCAAUAUAGCACCAUCCCAAGGGAGUCAGCCUGCUAUCUGGUGAUGAGCUGAUUAUACUGAACCACUUCAUCAUAGAUGGGUAAGCACAUGCAUCCUAUGGCAAACAAACAGUGCAAGCUCCUAGGACAGGGAAGAGGAAGCCACUGUCUCCAAACGAAGACCACGGAACACCCUUAAACACAAAAUAUUCUUUUAUUUGUCAACGAAGGCUACACGGGAUCACUUCUGGUUUUGUUUUUAUGCCUUUUUUUUUCUUUUUCUAGAAGGUAUCUACAUCUGCAUUUAUUUACAGCCUUGUUGGUAUUUACACAGUCAAGAAUACAGUGUUAGAAACAUAAAAGUGUUUGAGAAAAAAAACUUCUCAAAAUUAGUUCCAGACUUCAGGAAAACUAUUUCCACAUGGUAAGGCCAGAGUCUCCAGUGUUGGUCAUCCAGAGGCAGCUUGAUACCAAGUCCUUCCACCGAAGCUGCAGGUUCAGAAGUCCUCAGAACAGGCAGAUUUAGGAAAGUGGGAUUCUGGUGCCGGGUGACGCCGGGGCCGCUGGGGCACCGCCCGACACCUGCAACUCAGCUUCUGCCGGGGUCGCUGAGCCUGCUCCAGUGCCAGUCCUCCCAUGGCAGUCUGCUCUCCGAAUGCAUCCCAUUUUCUUGGCGACCAGGAGGUCGCCCAGCAUCGUGCCUUUGGCAUUCCAGAGGGGGUAAGAACCACCACGAUGGCUCCCCCCAGUUCCCCACACUCAGAUCUUCCACAUUCACAACGAAACCUGCGACUCACCACUGUCUGGGGUAGUCAACUACACAAGGCUGGUUUUCGAGAAUGUAAAGGUUGGAGGAGAUAAAGUUUCUCUCCGUCACCUGAGCAAUGAGUCUUUAAAAUGAGUUGCUGUUUUUGAAAGGUUCAAUGAAAGGGCCUCGAACCAGAGUUCUUUUUCCAAUCCCUUUCCCCCCCAAUAAAAUGUAGACAAGCAUGUAAACCUAGCUGGGAGUUAAGUGGCUCAAAUGGAGGGCUUUGAGUCCCAGUGAGGACCCCAAGGGAAAGGAGAGCCUGCAUUCUUUACUGGGGCCCCUUAGGUGGCGGGUCCCCUGACUAAGACCAGGAGCUACCUCCUGGGUUCAGUGGCUGCCUUGAGGAAGGGGAAAUAGAUUUGACGUUGAGCGUUAAGUGAUGAAACCCCAAAGCCAGGAUCCCUGCAAAAGCAGCUCAUUCCUCCUGACACAAAAAGCACCCCUGCCCUCACCGCGUGGUUGUGGAUGGAGAGACUGCACUCUGAUUUCACAUCAAAAGCCUUGUCUUUGCAUAAUAGAAAUCUCUGCCAUCUACAAAGGUGACACUUAAAAGUCACAGCUGAAAGGUCCUUCAUUUUUUUUUUUAACUUCUGAUCCCUGCUCUGUGUCCAUAAAACACGGCCCCAUUUUCCUCACCUUCCUUACCUCACUAUCAUCUUUGCUUCCAGCCCCACCCUACCCUGACAAUCCGAAAGCACACUGUUGGCCAUGCAUACCCCUUCGCAGUUUCUUAGGGACUGUUUCAAAUCUCCCAUCUCUAGAUAGAAGCCAGGCAUUGGUAUGGUUCUGGGGUUAUUCUUGGCCAACUGUUCUGAGAUCAGAGACUGAGCAGGGUGUUACCUACCAUGGAGGUCUUCUCCCUCCCAUGGGUCGUAGGGCUACCCUUCCGUGGUGGGUAAAAAGGAAACCUUGCCUAUAAAAAACGAAUUUGGGGAAUGAACAAAAGCCUUUUAAAGUAGUGGCAGAGGGACUGAGGGGCCAGCUGGAGCCAUGGAGGGUAAGAAAGAAGACAGGAACUGUUUUAAGACAAACCUCCUAGGGUUGGAAGCCGACAUUCUGCAGAAUCAGAAGCCUGGGCCAGUGAGGAGGGUUAGGGUUAGGGGCUGCCUAACUCUAACAAACGGGCAGGUUUGGGUGUGCUCAUGCCAGAAGGGCAGCGCCAUUGAGGGUGGGAUUCCAUGCUUGGAGCCCAUACGGAGGUACAGGGAAGGCCGGCCUGUGUCUCCCCCUUGCCGUGGGUUUGGGAUUGCUGGUCUCAACAGCGGAACUAAGAGGGAUGCACCUCCCAGCCCAGACGGAACCCAACUCCCAAGGCCAAGGCCAGAAGCACGAGCUUCAGUACAGCAGCACCGAGGUGAGACUGAGGUGCGGGGAUGCCACCAGUACCACCGCGGAGACCCCUGCUCUGAAAGUCUCUCGCCCGGAGGAAGCUGGGCCUUCUCAGUGGUAGGUAGCCCAAGAAAAAGCCAUGCCCAUUCUCCCCCUAUGGGCCUUAAAAGUUCAUACUAUUUCUCUGGGGAUGGGGCUGUGGAGGUGCAAGGGGAGGCUCCCUUGGGCCACAUGCCAUCUCUGACCUCCGAGGAGGUGUCCCCAGCAGGUUAGGGCUGACUUCAGACACCAGGACAGGACCGAUUAACCAGGCCAAUGGGUGGGAGCACUUUGCCCAAGGGCCCCUUAGAUCAAAAGUAUAUUUCGAGGGGCACAAAUCUCUUUGGAGGAAAAAAACCCAAAAAACAAACAUUUCUGAUUUUCAGGCUUAACUGUUUUCCAUCCUUUCCAAGAAUGAUCCUGCCUGAUGGGGAUCCCUGGCCAGCUUGUGCCAAGCACAGGGGGCAUGAGGAGCACUGGGCCUAACUCAGCGGAGCUCUGGGUUCAGAGGCGACGGGCAACCAUGGACAAACAGGCCGAGGCACACUGUUGCGAAGUGUGACUUUUUUUUUUUUUUUUU